AUUGGCGUCCGUUGCACAUCAUAACAGGCUUCUGCGCUAGGCGGUGUGAAUAUGGGUUUAUUAUAAGCAAUAACAACCAGCGCACUUCCAUCUUGUACUAAAUAGAAACUCGCUAACUAAGAGUCGUGAAGACUCAACGAAGCAACCUGAAUUUGGAAAUGUUGUGCUGACUCAUAUUCAGUGCCAUAUCUUACAUCGGAGAUAGGCUGUCUGCUUGUUGCACUUCAUCUGCGAAGGCGCACCUUGCAAGUUCAAAUGAAAAGCCCAGUCAGCAUGUGUCGUGCGUGUCAGGUGCAGUUACAGCAUGCCCCCCUUCCUCAGGUGAAGCUGGCACCCUUUCUUAAAGGGCCAUCUCUGACCUUCUAAAUGGAGGUGGCACCAUACCAUACCACCCUGCCUGGCAUCCCUCUGCACUGUUUAACAAUGAUGGCGUGUCUAUAAACUCCAAUGCUUUGGAGGUGGGCAUGCCUGAUGUCCCAAACAGGUCUGAGGUGAUAUGCACGAAUAAAAUAACUUUGAAAACAA
This is a long non-coding RNA of Engraulis encrasicolus (European anchovy), 525 nucleotides long. RefSeq lists it as uncharacterized. The transcript has 3 exons. NCBI's taxonomy places the organism in Eukaryota, Metazoa, Chordata, Actinopteri, Clupeiformes, Engraulidae. The record is from RefSeq and is a predicted model, not a curated record.